RNAcentral lists this ribosomal RNA (1479 nucleotides) under Triticum aestivum (bread wheat). RNAcentral describes it as "partial small subunit ribosomal RNA". Lineage: Eukaryota; Viridiplantae; Streptophyta; Magnoliopsida; Poales; Poaceae. The record is from RNAcentral.
AUGACCAAAUCAUCCGUGCAGGGCCUCAGCAAAUCCUCCCUCAACAUUGUGGAUAAUGAAGUUGAUAUGCUCAGCAAGUUGCCUGAUGACAUUUUGCUCAACAUUGUGGAGCGACUUGAUAUUGCUGAUGCCACACGAACCACCAUCCUAUCCAGACGUUGGAAGCAGAUCCCUGCGAUACUCUCAAAGGUUGUUAUAAUGGUUGGUUCUUUUCAGCCCAAGCACGAAGGGAGGAAGUUAACCUCAGAUGAUAUACUUCAGGCCAAUACUGCCAUGCUGGAAGCAACCAGGGGCAUACUUGAAAGGAGGGCGGGAAAUCCAUACAGUAUUCACCUGUUGCGCAUGGAAUUCUACUUGGGAGAUGAGUCCAUUUUCAUUGGCCAGACUGUUGCCAACACCAUAGCAACACAAAAGGUUGCUUCAGUUGAGUUUAUAAUCUUAACGAAGUUGCGCAAUGUUUUUACCAAUAAUGAGCUGCUCACUUAUGGGAGUCAGUUCAUGUCAUUCUUUGAUUCUUGUCCAGUCACAUUUGGUGGUCUUGCACGCCUCACACUAGAGAAUUUGAGGUUAGGCGAAUCAGGCUUUCCGAAAAUUUUCAGUAUAUGCAAGCAAUUGGAGUUCCUCCGCCUCUACCACUGUGAUAUGGGCAUUGAGUCUUUGCUGGAAGUGGAGCACCCACAGCUCAGUGAACUAGUGAUUGCCUGCAGUAGGAUUAUUAAGAGGAUUGAUCUAAAGUGGGUACCAAAACUCAUAGUACUGAAAGUUAAUGUAUUUAGAUCUCAAGAUGACCCCUUCUGUCUUGGCUAUGCCCCUCUGCUCCAGACUGUCAGCAUCAUUAAUACUGGUUUUUCUUGGCACAAGAUGCUCAAGUUAAGUGAGUUGCUUGGUAAAACAGCAAUAAGCAAUCUGCAUUUGAACUUCAAAAGCGAGAAGAUUUGGGUCAAACCGGAAGGUCGAAGACAAUUGUUACCGGUGUUCCACAAACUAAGGCGUGUGAAUUUGUAUAACAUUUUUGAAGGAUGCGAUCUGACUUGGAUAAUGUUCAUACUCCAAGGGGCACCCAGCCUUAAGGAACUAUGCAUCGUGGUGCGGGAUCAUUUAUGUGAAAUGGUAACGGGGGAGCAGAGAAAACUGUAUGCAUUUAGCGAGGAGAAGGACAAGGGAGUAGAGUGGGAACCAUCCGCAUCUGAUUUCAAGCAUCGCAACCUUGCUGAGGUCAGAAUCUUUGGGAGGUUUCUAGCAUAUGACAACAUUGUGCGCUUUGUCCGGAAUGUAAUGGAAGCAGCGGUGAGUCUGGAGGGCAUAAAACUUUAUAAGAGUCUAGUGUGUCAGAAUUGCAAGCAAACGGUUCAGAAGUGGACAUUGAAGGAGAAGGUGUCGCUCACCCACAAGCUCAAUGUGGGGAUGCUGUCUUCGGCCGUCCGGAUUCAGUUCCCCAAUUUAGAGCAUGUUGCUACUUGGUCAACAUACUGCUCUUGA